GGAGGGAACAAAGAAAAAUGUCAUCAACUGGUGAUGCAAGAUGAGCCCAAUCACUAAACACUGUUUAGCAAACUCCGAAUUCUGCAACCAGGCAGUAGAAGUCAUUUCAAACACUUCAGCAGAGCUCCUGCACAAUGACUGUCUCCUUCUGCUUCUGAGAAUCAAACAGUCCUUUGGCUAAGGAAGAAAAUAAGCGGGGAUGAAUACUGUCCUAUCUUCUUCCGGAAGAAGGCUUUCAAUACAGUGGGGAGUAGGAACUUGAACUCAGAUCCUUGCACAUUGAAACAUGGGCACUCAACCAGGUGUGCCACAACUGGCCCUGGAGAAUAUCAUCUCAAUUUCUUUGAGAGAACAGAAAAUCAGGUUCAAAGGAUUGUUAUAUCUUUGAUAAAAGAUCAGGGGUGGGGAACAUCUGACCUGCUGACUGUAACAUUUGGUCUGGACCUGCCCAGGCAACCACAGGCAGGACUUGAAACACAG
Long non-coding RNA from Erinaceus europaeus (western European hedgehog), 480 nucleotides. RefSeq lists it as uncharacterized. NCBI's taxonomy places the organism in Eukaryota, Metazoa, Chordata, Mammalia, Eulipotyphla, Erinaceidae. The transcript has 3 exons. The record is from RefSeq and is a predicted model, not a curated record.